UGGGGAAUUGUUCACAAUGGGCGCAAGCCUGAUGACGCAACGCCGCGUGGGGGAUGAAGGUCUUCGGAUCGUAAACCCCUGUCGAAUGGGACGAAAGACUCGCGAGUGAAUACUUCGCGAGAGUGACGGUACCGUUAAAGGAAGCCACGGCUAACUCUGUGCCAGCAGCCGCGGUAAUACAGAGGUGGCAAGCGUUGUUCGGAAUUACUGGGCGUAAAGGGCGCGUAGGCGGCCCUCUAAGUCAGACGUGAAAUCCCCCGGCUUAACCUGGGAACUGCGUCUGAUACUGGAGGGCUUGAGUAUGGGAGAGGGAUGUAGAAUUCCAGGUGUAGCGGUGAAAUGCGUAGAUAUCUGGAGGAAUACCGGUGGCGAAGGCGGCAUCCUGGACCAUUACUGACGCUGAGGCGCGAAAGCUAGGGG
This 420-nucleotide ribosomal RNA is filed under the name uncultured bacterium. Its description in RNAcentral is "bacterial SSU rRNA". It matches the Rfam family "Bacterial small subunit ribosomal RNA", at positions 355 to 766 of the family's 1533-position model. The record is from RNAcentral.